Molecule: long non-coding RNA, 1289 nt
Filed under: Anser brachyrhynchus (Pink-footed goose)
Lineage: Eukaryota; Metazoa; Chordata; Aves; Anseriformes; Anatidae
Description: lncRNA (ENSABRG00000000205.1)
Source: RNAcentral
GAAAACUGUCAAACUGUGAAACACUGUUGUUUCUUUAAACGUCACUAGGUAGGUAGCUGUUGGUGCACACGUUCAGCUGAACAGGAUAAGUUUGUGUGGCAGAUUCACGGCUGAUGUAGCAUGGUCUAUGGUUUUUCAUGAGAAUCCUACUAGGUGCUUGUGUUCAUUUUUUCUAGUGGAAGCUUUUGUGAAGCUCAGGAGCUAUCAAUCUGAAGAAGUAUUCAUGGUCCUUGCAGCUUCAGACGUACCCUGGCACAGAGAUAGGGACCCUCCUUGUACAGGGAAGCUAUGGCACAAAGAAGGGAAAUGAAUACUCUGUGAACAAGACUUCUGUACAAAUCAAAAUAAUAUCAACCUUAGAUCUAGAAGUCCUGGGCUGCUCCUUCCUCCUCAUGGAAAUGACUUUUUGAAGAAAAGUGAUGUAAGGAAGCAUCGAUGCUUGAGCAAAUAUCUGAUCUGGAAGCAGCAGGAUUCAAGAGAGGAAUAGAUAGAUGAGAGAAGAGGGUCUGCUAUGGGCAGCUAAGGUUGUUAGGAGAUUUAGAGAAAGGCUUAUGCUAUGAAGAACAGAGACAAUGGAAAGGAUAUUUUUAAGAAGGAGAAAAGAUACUCAGGCCUGGCAAGAUCUUUGGCUAUAAAAUGAACAUAAGUUAGAACAAAAAUAGGAUUUUCUCUGCAACCCUGGCUCUGAAGGGUUAACUCCAGUCCCUUCUCCAUGCGCUUUCUCUCUCUCCCUCUCCCCCUCAUGGUAAAGAGAGGGAUUAGAGAAGGAUUCUAAUUGGGGAAACAGAGUUACAGUGAUUUUCACGCGGAAAAUGAAAAUGUUAAGGUGUAAAAAUUAGCUGAUUCCCCAAACUAGCUACUGGUUACAUAAAGGAGAAGCAUAUAUGAAGGCAGUUUGUUUUUUGUUUGUUUGUUUUGUUUUGUUUUGGUAGGAUGAGUGAGAUUCCUACUGGAUUGAAAUGUUAUUUGACUUAAUAUAUCUUCUCUAUAGACAGCAAAGCCUUGUACUUUAUCGUAGGUAUAGGUUUUCUGUAACAGUUGGUCUAGCACAGAAUGUUUCUUAACUUUCUCCAGCUACUUAUUUUCAUAAGUGACAAAAUUCUUGUUUGUGAACUACUUUGUUUUGUUUUUCUCUCCUGUUUUCCUUCUAUCCCUUACUUAGCAUAGAGUUAUUAACAGCUUCUGCGCCGCCUUGUUUAUCACUUGCAUCUCUUCUCCUCUGCCACCUUGGUCUGCUGAGAACCCUGUUACAGCUCUGAAGCUCCUGGCCAAACUAGUUGGUGGAGGGU